Long non-coding RNA from Octopus sinensis (East Asian common octopus), 396 nucleotides. RefSeq lists it as uncharacterized. The record is from RefSeq and is a predicted model, not a curated record. Lineage: Eukaryota; Metazoa; Mollusca; Cephalopoda; Octopoda; Octopodidae. The transcript is spliced from 3 exons.
UGGGGUCGAUUCAUUUGACUUAAAAUUCCAGGUGGUGCCCCAGAAUGGCCUCAGUCUGAUGACUGAAACAAGUAAAAGAUAAAAGAUAUAUAUAUAUAUAUAUAUAUUUUUACACACAUACACAAACAUAAGUAGAUAUACACCAUAAUUUUUGAAUUCUAGAAACAAAAAGUCAUUUGAUGCAUUUAAAUACUCAGUCUAGUAUUUUGUAGAUAUGCCUUUUGUAUAGUUUGUAAUGAUUUAAUCCAUUUUGGUAUUAUGCUAAUGAAGAAAAUACCUCUACAGAUAAUGCAGUAUAAUGGAUGGGGUCUAUUUACUUUUGGAAUGUUUCUCUCCAUGUGUAUGUGUGUGUGUGUGUGUGUGUGUGUGGUGUGUGUGUGUGUGUGUGUGUGUGUG